GUGGGGAAUUUUGCACAAUGGGGGAAACCCUGAUGCAGCGACGCCGCGUGGAGGAUGAAGGCCUUCGGGUUGUAAACUCCUUUUGUCGGGGACGAUGAUGACGGUACCUGAUGAAUAAGCCACGGCUAACUCUGUGCCAGCAGCCGCGGUAAGACAGAGGUGGCGAGCGUUGUUCGGAAUCACUGGGCUUAAAGGGCGCGUAGGUGGUAGUGCAAGUCCGUGGUGGAAUCCGGGAGCUUAACUCCCGAACUGCCAUGGAAACUGCGUUACUUGAGUCAGCGAGGGGAGGGUAGAAUUCCUGGUGUAGCGGUGAAAUGCGUAGAUAUCAGGAGGAAGGCCUGUGGCGAAGGCGGCCCUCUGGUGCUGGACUGACACUGAGGCGCGAAAGCGUGGGGAGCAAACAGGAUUAGAAACCCCAGUAGUCC
This 425-nucleotide ribosomal RNA is filed under the name uncultured bacterium. RNAcentral describes it as "bacterial SSU rRNA". It matches the Rfam family "Bacterial small subunit ribosomal RNA", at positions 354 to 796 of the family's 1533-position model. The record is from RNAcentral.